GGAAUAUGGCAGGGAUAUACAGAUGAAUGAUCAUUACGAGCUUCCAACUUGUCAUGGAACUGUUGUUCUACAGAAUCACUGUGUCUCUAUUACGCCUUUUAUUUUUCCAGUCUUUCUCAUGCUUGUGAUUUCUUGAUGCCAUUGUGUAACUGGAAGUUCUCUGUGGUAAGUGGUCACUAAGAAGUAUCUUUUGUCAGUCUUGAGUUGAGAGUUCAUGAGAGAAAGAUAUGGGAG
Molecule: unclassified non-coding RNA, 234 nt
Filed under: Hevea brasiliensis (rubber tree)
Lineage: Eukaryota; Viridiplantae; Streptophyta; Magnoliopsida; Malpighiales; Euphorbiaceae
Source: RNAcentral